Molecule: ribosomal RNA, 253 nt
Filed under: uncultured bacterium
Lineage: Bacteria
Description: partial 16S ribosomal RNA
Rfam family: Bacterial small subunit ribosomal RNA
Source: RNAcentral
UACGUAGGGGGCAAGCGUUAUCCGGAUUUACUGGGUGUAAAGGGAGCGUAGACGGCAGCGCAAGUCUGGAGUGAAAUGCCGGGGCCCAACCCCGGAACUGCUUUGGAAACUGUGCAGCUCGAGUGCAGGAGAGGUAAGCGGAAUUCCUAGUGUAGCGGUGAAAUGCGUAGAUAUUAGGAGGAACACCAGUGGCGAAGGCGGCUUGCUGGACUGCAACUGACGUUGAGGCUCGAAGGCGUGGGGAGCAAACAGG